GUCGUAAAAGGGGACGCGGAGGAGAAGGAAAGUCGCUCAAGCAGUGGACAGAGCGGAGAAAGCGACUUCGGGUCUGCUGGAGUUUGCUGGAGGUGCACUCCAGACUCUGUUUGCCUGCCUAUCACCAACAGAGGCUGCAGAACAGCAAAGAUUGCUGUCUGUAACUUCCUCUGGAAGCUUCAUCCCAGAGGGGCACCUGCCAGAUGCCAGCCGGAGCUCUCCUCUAUGAGUGAAUGAAGGAGGGAAGAAAGGAGAGACAGAGAAAAUAUGGAUUUCCUCAUGGUUGUGAUUCCUCUUCACUCUUUUGAAUUUGGAAGGAUGGCAUACACAUCUGAAAAAUACCACUACUUCCUUCAUUGGACUGCAAGGUAUUUCUGUUUGGAAAAGUAAUGGAGUCCAGUCAACUUCAUUGAUCGCCAAGGACUGUCAAAAUUAUAAAACUUGCUGUGGAGCUCUGACAUGCCAGAAGCCGCUAGAAAAAGAAGUUUGACAUUCAGAAACUUAUCAAGAGGUUCUACUCUUUGGAUAGAGACCAAAAUCAUACUUUGAAUGAUAUGCAAUGCAAGACUCCCAAGAUUCUGGGCAGUGGCAGGGAGGUGCAGCUUCUAGUCUGCCGCAUGAUCACAAUGUCAGCUGGUCCCUCUUCUCAGGUGUAGAUCACCUAUUAUAAUUUUACCUAAUUUUGAUACUCUGAUAAGGAAAGUCCCAGGACUUAUCAGCUGGGAUAGGCCUCACUUACAAGACAGCUCUGUUCAGUAUUUGGAAGAAAGCCUGACAGGUUUCUUCGGAAAAGUGGCCAUCCAUGGAAUGAAUGAAAUGUUCUCUUUCUAUUCCAGGGAUUGCAGUGGCAAAGCUAGGCUAGGUCUUGGAGGCUGGUGUAAGGCGAUGUGGGUGAAGGCAGGAGGCUGAUGGAAAGACUGGGGGGAAGAAAAGCCGAAAUGGAUUCACGGUGCCUUGGAUGAAGGACGAGAGGGGAACUGCAAGCUCCUUCAACUGGUUCUGUCCGGUGAGAAGUGAUCAAGCUUGGGCUGACAAGAGGCUCAGGGAGCCCUCACGUUCUUUCGCUUUUUUACCUGCCAAUCAAACUGCUACAAGACAACACCCUGAUCUGGCAUGGACAUCGCGGGUCCAAGCCUGUAGCCCCAAAUCGGAUAAUCUCUGCAGCUGAUAACAAGCAAAAGAGAAGCCAGGCAACAGCCAUAUUAAAGAAGAAAACAAUCAACUCUGAGGAUGGCUGCCAGGGAAUAGAUGAAAGGCAGAAGUGGCGAUGGGUGACUGAUGUGGCACACUUAUGAAGAAAAGCCUCUUUUUCCAUGCUUGUUUUUCCUCCCCAAGGAGCCAACAGAGUUUCUAUUCUCCAACUCUGCUCUUCACCUUACCCAAGUCAUUGCAGUCACCUGGAGUCACGGAAAUGACCAUGAUUGCCUGAACUUUCAUGACUUCUGUGGAUAACUGUGGUUGCAGAAAAGAGAAAACCUGGACCGUGAGGGACAUUUCACUCCCUGGGCUUUGCCUUGGUUGUUUACUUGUAUCUAAGACAGAGGUGUCCAAUAUUUUGGCUUCCCUGGGCCACAAUGGAAGAAGAAUAGUCUUGGGCCACACAUAAAAUACACUAAUGCUAACAAUAGCUGAUGAGCUAAAAAAUAAAAAUAAAAAUACGCCGGGCACGGUGGCCCACACCUGGAAUCCCAGCACUUUGGGACGACGAGGCAGGCGGAUCACAA
RNAcentral lists this long non-coding RNA (1724 nucleotides) under Homo sapiens (human). RNAcentral describes it as "PREDICTED lncRNA (TCONS_00188982)". The stretch from base 846 to 1121 matches the Rfam family "SOX2 overlapping transcript exon 3". Lineage: Eukaryota; Metazoa; Chordata; Mammalia; Primates; Hominidae. The record is from RNAcentral.